This 214-nucleotide ribosomal RNA is filed under the name uncultured bacterium. RNAcentral's name for it is "partial 16S ribosomal RNA". It matches the Rfam family "Bacterial small subunit ribosomal RNA", at positions 1286 to 1500 of the family's 1533-position model. The record is from RNAcentral.
UCUCAGUUCGGAUUGAAGGCUGAAAUUCGCCUUCAUGAAGCCGGAAUUGCUAGUAAUGGCAGGUCAGCAUACUGCCGUGAAUACGUUCCCGGGCCUUGUACACACCGCCCGUCACACCAUGAGAGUUGGGAAUACCCGAAGCCUGUGAGCUAACUUUUAGAGGCAGCAGUCGAAGGUAGAAUCAAUGAUUGGGGUGAAGUCGUAACAAGGUAAC